CUCAUUCAUUUUCCAACAUUAAAUCCCCUCCUCCGUUUUCUGGGUCUUUUUUUUUUUUUUUCUUAAUACCCAAGUUCUUAAUUUUGUUUCUAUUGCAAUGUAAAAGGGAGAGCUUUUCUUGAGUUGCAUAUGUAAUGGUUGACCUUAAGAAGAGUCUGGAAAUGGAGUUCAAAGAAGGGAGUUCAGUGGAGGUGAUGAGAGAACAGAUGGGUCCUUACGGUCCAUGGUAUCCUGGCAGGGUAAUUGGUGUAGAUGGCAAUGAUUACACGAUCAGGUACAAGUUUCUUAUGGACAGUCGAGGAAAAUUGGUUGUGGAAAGGGUGCAGGAGAAGAACAUGAGGCCUCAACCUCCACAACAUGAUCAGGAGAAGAAAAGAUGGGUGGCUGGUGAUAUAGCUGAGGUGUUUGAUACACAGUGUUGGAGGGUUGGAAAGGUAGCCAAAGUAUUGAGAAAGGGUCGUUUGGUUAUUAAGUUUUAUGGGUUCAUUCAACUCAAGGAAUUCAAUGUGUCUUGUUUAAGAACUCAUAAACUUUGGCAUGAGAAGAAGUGGUCACUGCUUGUCAAAGUUCAAAACCAUGGACAGGAAGCUAGCCAUUCUCCACAACAAACUAUUUCAAACCAGUGUUGGAGCUUGGUUUGCAGUGAUCCAGUUCAGGCAGUUUGUGAAUCAAAAACUUGCACAAAAAAUGAAUAUGUACCAAGAAGCCUUAAGAAGAGAACAAAUGCCUUUGAUCCUCUUCAUGAACCAGUCUCCAAGAAUCAAAUGUUGGGAAAAAACAUUAGGAAAAGAACAUCCAAACCAGUUGCAGGAGUAUUCAAUAGCCCUUUGGUAAAAAACCAUUCUUUGUAUACUUUUCACCAAAUAAGAUUAGAUAACACCACCAAACCGGAACAAGAAACAAACAACUGGUUACAUUGUUCUGUUCAGUCUACUGAAGAUAGUAACGAGUGCUCGGUUGCUAGUUGUAGUUUGAACGAGUCUGCUAACUCCACAAGAGGAAGCUCACUCAAGCUUAACGAAAAGAAUUUUCCUGAUUCGGACGCUGAGUCAUCUUCAUUGCCCUUGUUGUACAGUAAAAGGAACACAGUUCUUCCAUGUCUUGGAAGCAAACUAGGAGUUGACAUCCAUAACUUGGAGCUUGAAGCCUACAAGUCAACAGUUUUGGCACUAUAUGCUUCUGGCCCCUUAAGUUGGGAACAGGAGUCUAUGCUAACUAAUCUACGCCUCUCUCUACACAUUUCAAAUGAUGAACAUUUGCUUCAGCUGAGAAACCUUUUGGCUGCUCAAGUUGUUUGAUCAUCUUUAUCUCGGUCAACACAGACAUGUUUGGUAUCUGCUGAAAAAUUCAGAUCGAUUUGGAAGACACUAGUGUAAGUUCAAAUUGCAUAUUCCUCAUCAACUGAAUUAAGGAAUACAACUUAUGAGAAGUUUAGAGGAUACCCUGAUAGACUUCAAGAGUUUGUAGUAAUGUGGGUUCUGAACAUUACUCGUAAGAAGAUUUGGAGGUGCAGUGCAGGGAUGGUGCCAAGAAUGUAUCCAUCAAGAUUGAAGGCACGCAAUUGUAAGGACUAAAGAUCACCAAAAAGAGUAAUUUGUCUAAUCCAAAUGAAGAUUUGAUGGAAGUAAAUAGUUGUUUGGCAAAAUGACAGAUGGAGUGUCGAUGGCGAGAAUGGUCAGAGGAGCCGCUGGUUGGUAUUCUGCAUCUGCAGAGGAGCGAGAGACUGUUUGCUGUUUCUUGAAUUUCCAGGAGAUUAGAGACUUUCCAAGGAAAAUGCAGUAACCUGAGAUAGACCUUCGUGUGUCCAAGCAUGAUCCCCAAUCUGCAUCUGCAAAUGCUCGAAACUACAGUGGUGUGGGAGCAAUUUUGUAGAAGAACAAACCUUGUCCAGGGGUUCCUUUGAGAUAUUGGAUGACACGGUUGGCUGCUAUGAGGUGAGGGGACGAGGUGCUUGUAGGUACUGGCUUAAUUUAUUGACAGCAAACGAUAUGUCAGGCCAAGCGAUGGUGAGGUGGAGAAGCUUCCCAAUGAGGCUUUGAUAUUGAGUUGGGUUGUCAAGUAGAGGACCUGUCUCAUUGUCAAUAUUGAUAUUGGGUUCCAUGGGGGUGGAGACAGGUUUUGAGCCAAAAUGGACGUUGAGUGACAGAUAUACCACGAUUAUUUUGAGGCCUAAGAAGAAAUGAAGUGGUUCAAGAUUUUUAAGUUUGAAUUGGGAGUCAAGGUUGUUGAUGAAGUGAUUUAGAGCUGCAGUGUCAUUUGUUGCAACUAUUAUGUCAUCAACGUAUGUUAAUAUUGCUAAGAAGACAUUAUAAUUUUGUCUGAUAAAAAGAGAAUGGUCAUUCUUGGACUGGA
Cannabis sativa is the source of this 2352-nucleotide RNA transcript. RefSeq lists it as uncharacterized. NCBI's taxonomy places the organism in Eukaryota, Viridiplantae, Streptophyta, Magnoliopsida, Rosales, Cannabaceae. The transcript has 5 exons. The record is from RefSeq and is a predicted model, not a curated record.